GAUGAACGCUGGCGGCGUGCCUAAUACAUGCAAGUCGAGCGAACAGAUAAGGAGCUUGCUCCUUUGACGUUAGCGGCGGACGGGUGAGUAACACGUGGGUAACCUACCUAUAAGACUGGGAUAACUUCGGGAAACCGGAGCUAAUACCGGAUAACAUUUGGAACCGCAUGGUUCUAAAGUGAAAGAUGGUUUUGCUAUCACUUAUAGAUGGACCCGCGCCGUAUUAGCUAGUUGGUAAGGUAACGGCUUACCAAGGCGACGAUACGUAGCCGACCUGAGAGGGUGAUCGGCCCCACUGGACCUGAGACACGGUCCAGACUCCUACGGGAGGCAGCAGUAGGGAAUCUUCCGCAAUGGGCGAAAGCCUGACGGAGCAACGCCGCGUGAGUGAUGAAGGGUUUCGGCUCGUAAAACUCUGUUAUUAGGGAAGAACAAAUGUGUAAGUAACUGUGCACGUCUUGACGGUACCUAAUCAGAAAGCCACGGCUAACUACGU
RNAcentral lists this ribosomal RNA (496 nucleotides) under uncultured bacterium. Its description in RNAcentral is "partial 16S ribosomal RNA". It matches the Rfam family "Bacterial small subunit ribosomal RNA", at positions 28 to 506 of the family's 1533-position model. The record is from RNAcentral.